CCAUACCUUGACUUCUGCAAGCCGUUGCAUACUUCCAGUAUCCUCCUCCCUCUCGACCCUUCUCAACACGUCAGUGUGGCUUGCCUUGUGCUCUUCCAUUUUGAAGAGAUUUGAAACUAAAUAGAUUGAUGCUCAAAUGAGCUUAUUAAACUAGAAAUGAAAUAGCUCAGUGAGCUUUAUUUAACAAGACAAAGAGAGAGGAUGAAGAUAACGUUGUCACCAAGAUAAAAGAGUUUUCGAUUGAUUCAUAAAAUGAGGAAGGAGGCUGCUCAAACUGCAGCCAAAGUUACAACUUCAGAACUGUUAACAACGUAUAUAUAUGAGUCUAUAACCCUAGUCUAAAAGCUUCUAAUGGAUCAUAAGGUUGGGCUUUUCUUUGGGCUUCAAUACUCCCCCGCAAACUUAGCGUAGGUGGAUCUCAACGGAGCCAAGUUUGAACCUCAAAUGAUGGCUUGGUGGAAAAAGUAGUGGAAGAAUGAUCACAUGGAGCUAUAGGUGUAAUCUUCAAUUCACCACAUAGAAGAGAUGGUUUGGUCUAUACUUGGAGAGUAUCGCAUGGCUUCACUCAGAGGUUUCUCUUGAACUUGGAGAGCUUAGUCGAUCUCACUCAGAGGUACACUGUGACCUUUCUUUCUCACAAAGAGUCCGGGUUCUUUUGUGACCCGUGUAACUCAUCAAAUUUGUCUAAUAACAAAAGGGACUUUCCCACAACAACUUAGAUCCCUUCCACUAUCUAUCUUCCAUCAAUAACCAGUUCCAGACCAAUAAACCAUACCGGCAUUGUCCUAUGAAACUAUGACUACCCGGCAUUACUCCAGAUUCCAAUCCUAGCCAGCCAACAGAACCACCAGACCAAGCGACCAUAAUAUUCUACCAAUCUCUAUCAAGCAACAGUUAUAUCUAUGUUCUGUUCCAGUAGAAAAAUGCAGAAACAUUACCACCUUUUAUUCCUCGAGCUUGACAGAGACUGGCUUGUGAUAAUGUUGAUGUUGUGAAGAAGCGUAGAAACUGCCUUUGUGGUUUCAGAACCAAUAGAAGACUCAGACCAUAGUGGAGAUUAGAUCUUUUCCGAGACCUUUCCUUUAUCAAGUCUUCGCGUUCUCAUGAACAAGCCACCAAGCUUCCAGCUUUACGGCGGCGAACACCCUGGUAUGACCAUGCUACUCUUUUUUUUUUUUUUUUUUUAAGAAAGGAGCCUUUGUUGUAACCACACUUCUUCAUAUUCUUCUUGCCUUGGUCGUUGUUUCGUAGAUCUACCACCUUACUCUCGUGUUCUAUCUGAUUUUAAAACACAAGACUUCAUCUUUUCAGCUUGGGUGAAGAGAAAACGAGAAAGGUUGGAGCUUUAGUGAUAGGAUUGAGUUAGUAACCCAUAGAACCCCAAGGAUUUACUCCCUGGUGCUCUGAUACCAUGAAGAGAUUUGAAACUAAAUAGAUUGAUGCUCAAAUGAGCUUAUUAAACUAGAAAUGAAAUAGCUCAGUGAGCUUUAUUUAACAAGACAAAGAGAGAGGAUGAAGAUAACGUUGUCACCAAGAUAAAAGAGUUUUCGAUUGAUUCAUAAAAUGAGGAAGGAGGCUGCUCAAACUGCAGCCAAAGUUACAACUUCAGAACUGUUAACAACGUAUAUAUAUGAGUCUAUAACCCUAGUCUAAAAGCUUCUAAUGGAUCAUAAGGUUGGGCUUUUCUUUGGACUUCAAUACAUUUCUCUCUGCAUCGCUGCUAGAUUCUCCUCAAGAAUCUUAAUGUGACUCGCUUUGAAGCAUGAAAGGUA
This 1772-nucleotide long non-coding RNA is filed under the name Brassica rapa (field mustard). RNAcentral's name for it is "long non-coding RNA (BRAP_LNC007404)". Lineage: Eukaryota; Viridiplantae; Streptophyta; Magnoliopsida; Brassicales; Brassicaceae. The record is from RNAcentral.